AUGAACGCUGGCGGCGUGCCUUAGGCAUGCAAGUCGAACGGUUGCCUUCGGGCAACAGUGGCAGACGGGUGAGUAACGGGUAGGAAUCUACCCCUUGGUAGGGAAUAACUCAUCGAAAGAUGGGCUAAUACCGUAUAAGUUCGUAAGAAGAAAGGGCGUAACUGCCCGCCGAGGGAUGUGCCUGCCUGCUAUCAGCUAGUUGGUGAGGUAAUGGCUCACCAAGGCUAUGACGGCUAGGGGGCGUGAGAGCGUGAUCCCCCACAAUGAAACUGCGACACGGUUCAUACAUCUACGGAUGGCAGCAACCAGGAAUAUUGCGCAAUGGACGAAAGUCUGACGCAGCGACGCCGCGUGCGGGAUUAAGGCCUUCGGGUCGUAAACCGCUGUGGAGAGGAAUGAAUAAGAUGACAGUACCUUUCUAGAAAGCACCUGCUAACUACGUGCCAGAAGCCUCGGUAAUACGUAGGGUGCUAGCGUUAUCCGGAAUCACUGGGCGUAAAGGGUUUUGUAGGCGGUAAGUUAAGUGGUGGGUUAAAGACUAAGGCUCAACCUUAGAUAUGCCCAUCAAACUAGCUAACUAGAGAUAGUUUGGGGAUGCUGGAAUUCUCGGUGUAGUAGUGAAAUGCGUUGAUAUCGAGAAGAACACCAAAGGCGAAGGCAGGCAUCUAAGACUAUACUGACGCUGAUAAACGAAAGCUGGGGGAGCGAAAGGGAUUAGAGACCCCUGUAGUCCCAGCCGUAAACGAUGGACACUAGCUGUUUGCUCUUAAGAGUGAGUGGCGCAAGCUAACGCGUUAAGUGUCCCGCCUGGGGAGUACGACCGCAAGGUUAAAACUCAAAGGAAUUGACGGGGAUGCGCACAACCAGCGUGCCAUGUGGUUUAAUUCGAUACAAAACGAUGAACCUUACCUAGACUUGACAUCCUGAUCAUAUCUUUAGGAAACUAGAGAGUCGGUUCGGCCGGAUCAGUGACAGCUGUUGCAUGGUUGUCGUCAGUUCGUGUCGUGAGGCGUCCUGUUAAGUCAGGUAACGAACGCAACCCCUGUUGCAUGUUAAAUAUCCAUGCAAGACUGCCCCUCUUAUUGGGGGGGAGGAAGGAGGGGACGACGUCAAAUCAGCAUGACGCUUACGUCUAGGGCUACACACAUGGUGUAAUGGGUGGUACAACGGGUCGCGACAGGGUAACCUUGAGCUAAUCCUUAUAAAACCACCCUCAGUUCGGAUUGGGGGCUGCAAUUCGCCCCCAUGAAGGGGAGUUGGUAGUAAUCGCAGGUCAGCUAUACUGCGGUGAAUACGUUCUCGCAUCUUGUACACACUGCC
This 1320-nucleotide ribosomal RNA is filed under the name uncultured bacterium. RNAcentral's name for it is "bacterial SSU rRNA". It matches the Rfam family "Bacterial small subunit ribosomal RNA", at positions 29 to 1394 of the family's 1533-position model. The record is from RNAcentral.